This 492-nucleotide ribosomal RNA is filed under the name Streptococcus sp. oral clone BP2-57. RNAcentral describes it as "bacterial SSU rRNA". It matches the Rfam family "Bacterial small subunit ribosomal RNA", at positions 8 to 484 of the family's 1533-position model. The record is from RNAcentral. Lineage: Bacteria; Bacillati; Bacillota; Bacilli; Lactobacillales; Streptococcaceae.
AGAGUUUGAUCCUGGCUCAGGACGAACGCUGGCGGCGUGCCUAAUACAUGCAAGUAGAACGCUGAAGGAGGAGCUUGCUCUUCUGGAUGAGUUGCGAACGGGUGAGUAACGCGUAGGUAACCUGCCUGGUAGCGGGGGAUAACUAUUGGAAACGAUAGCUAAUACCGCAUAACAUUGACUAUUGCAUGAUAGUCAAUUGAAAGGUGCAAAUGCACCACUACCAGAUGGACCUGCGUUGUAUUAGCUAGUUGGUGGGGUAACGGCUCACCAAGGCGACGAUACAUAGCCGACCUGAGAGGGUGAUCGGCCACACUGGGACUGAGACACGGCCCAGACUCCUACGGGAGGCAGCAGUAGGGAAUCUUCGGCAAUGGACGGAAGUCUGACCGAGCAACGCCGCGUGAGUGAAGAAGGUUUUCGGAUCGUAAAGCUCUGUUGUAAGAGAAGAACGAGUGUGAGAGUGGAAAGUUCACACUGUGACGGUAUCUUACC